GAGGCUUGGGGCGGCGUUCUUCCGGAGGGCGUCGCCGAGGCAGGGCGUGGGGUCCCGGUGCCGGGCUAGGGGCGGAGCUGCACGAUGGCGUCCGGAGCGGCUCGCUGGCUGGCUUUGGCACCUGUCCGGUCUGGGGUUUUCCGGCGCGGGCAGAACCUACAAAACGUUGGAGAUGUCUCCGCCGGACCGGGCGGCUUGGGUCGGAGCCUGGUACCGUCGAGGUCAGUCAUCGUUACUCGCAGCGGCGCCAUUUUGCCCAAGCCGGUGAAAAUGUCCUUCGGCCUGCUCCGCGUCUUCUCCAUCGUGAUCCCCUUCCUCUAUGUCGGGACACUCAUUAGCAAGAACUUUGCUGCCCUGCUUGAGGAACAUGACAUUUUUGUCCCAGAGGAUGACGAUGACGAUGAUUAACAGGCCCCGAGGAACCCUGUGCUGGGCUGGGGAGCGAACUCAGCCGUGUACAGUGCAGGCAGCUUCCCUGUUGGACUUCUCUCAGCUCCAGACUAUGCUAUUAUCCAACUUCAAGCACGGGUUCGCUGUUCCUCCUAACUGGAAGGGCAUGGAAGAGGUACAAGACGACACAAGCCCUCAGUUCCUGAAGAAAUGGUGAUGCUCACAGCCUCUCCUUCAAAUCAGUGACGCCUCGUGCAUGGUCUGUGACCACACCCCAGAUCCAUGGGACCCGUGAGGUUCCCUGAGCUGUGCUUUCCUCUGAACGCCAUCAGAUUAUAAAUAAACAGAAUAAAUAUCA
RNA transcript from Sorex araneus (European shrew), 748 nucleotides. It is a transcript of the gene named single-pass membrane protein with aspartate rich tail 1, with no coding region annotated. Lineage: Eukaryota; Metazoa; Chordata; Mammalia; Eulipotyphla; Soricidae. The record is from RefSeq and is a predicted model, not a curated record. The transcript has 4 exons.